Molecule: unclassified non-coding RNA, 224 nt
Filed under: Hevea brasiliensis (rubber tree)
Lineage: Eukaryota; Viridiplantae; Streptophyta; Magnoliopsida; Malpighiales; Euphorbiaceae
Source: RNAcentral
GUUACAAGGGUAACAAUUACUAACCCAAUCCCUCUGAGAUUAACAUUUAACUAUAACAUUUAACUUCAAGGCAAAAUUAUUAAUGAGAUAAAAAAUUAACAUAAUCUCUUUAGGUAUCUAAAUAACACUAACGAGAGUUAAAAGUUAUAAGGAUAAAAAUUACCCAAAAUCUCAUACCAAACACCCCUUUAACCUAAUAAUGCUAGAAUUAGUUUUAAGUAUGA